UGGGAAUACCAGGUGCUGUAAGCCUUUUCACAGAAUUUUUC
This 41-nucleotide ribosomal RNA is filed under the name Hime japonica. The record is from RNAcentral. Lineage: Eukaryota; Metazoa; Chordata; Actinopteri; Aulopiformes; Aulopidae.